Molecule: transfer RNA, 66 nt
Filed under: Atrecus affinis
Lineage: Eukaryota; Metazoa; Arthropoda; Insecta; Coleoptera; Staphylinidae
Description: tRNA-Trp
Source: RNAcentral
AAGGAUUUAAGUUAAUAUAAACUCGUAGCCUUCAAAGCUUCAAAUAAUUUUUUUUUUUAAGCCUUA